RNAcentral lists this long non-coding RNA (750 nucleotides) under Ursus maritimus (polar bear). Its description in RNAcentral is "lncRNA (ENSUMAG00000023346.1)". Lineage: Eukaryota; Metazoa; Chordata; Mammalia; Carnivora; Ursidae. The record is from RNAcentral.
GUAUAAACUUCUUGGUAAAAAUACUAGCGAAGCAACAGCAUGUGCCUUAACAGAAAUCACCACAGAUGUCCUCGUGUGUCCCCUUCGGCCAGUGGAGCGCUUCCGAGACCUGCGUCCCGAUGAAGUGGCGGAUUUGUUUCAGGCCACCCAGAGAGUCGGGAUGGUGGUGGAGAAGCAUUUCCAGGGGACUUCUCUCACCUUUUCCAUGCAGGAUGGCCCUGAAGCCGGACAGACUGUGAAGCAUGUUCAUGUCCACGUUCUUCCGAGGAAGGCUGGAGACUUCCACAGGAAUGACAGCAUCUAUGAUGAGCUCCAGAGACAUGACAAAGCGGAGGAGGACACCCCAGCCUUGUGGAGGUCCGAGGAGGAAAUGGCAGCAGAAGCCGCAACCCUACGGGCCUACUUUCAGUGACUGUGCAGUCACUUCCAGGCACGAAAGUAACUUGAACAAAUCCCAAGGCAUAAGGAAAUGGGCCUCGUUCUCUAGGACUCCGCGGCAUUGGAAAUGAAGCUAAGCAGACUUUAUUACAUCCUACAAUUCUGCAACCUUUUGCGAAGCAUUUUAUUACACUUGUGGAAGCCAUCGGGGUUAUGUUUCAAUCAUGAUGACUGACAGGCUAACUUCAAAAUAACAGCAUCGACAGCCCUUCCACACUUCCUGGGCUAUGUACUUAGAAUAGAACCUUGUCUAAAUUGUCCCUUGGCCUGGAUGAAAAUAAAAUGGUAGUUAAAAUAUUUAUCUUGUGUGUU